Molecule: long non-coding RNA, 1112 nt
Filed under: Callithrix jacchus (white-tufted-ear marmoset)
Lineage: Eukaryota; Metazoa; Chordata; Mammalia; Primates; Cebidae
Description: lncRNA (ENSCJAG00000085638.1)
Source: RNAcentral
GAAGACCUGUAGUAAGGAAAUCUACUUUAAAUUAUUCUGAAAGUUUUUUAAUAAGCCUUCUCUUGCACUUUACAUUCAUGAUCAGUAUUCACAAAACACCUCACAAAACAAAACUCUUAUAAAAUAUAAAUAAAGCUGGAGUUCUGAGAUCAGAGUACCUUGAUUCAUAAGAAAUGAACAAAGCAAAACAAAACAAAACAAAAAACCCAAGUAUCUCAGAAGUCAUUAGUUAGAUUCUUGGCCAGUAAUUUAUCUACCUUUGAACUUCAAUAUGCUUCACGUAAAUGAUACCUACCUAACAUGGAAACUGUUAAAGAUUAAAUAAGAAUGAAGUUAAUUGUAAACUACAAAGAACUAAGCAAUUGGUUAGAAAAGGGGAAUGUUGAGAGAAAUCUUCAAAUUCUCACUCUGACAUUUACUAUGUAUAUGGCUUUAUGCAAAUAUCUUUCCAUCUCUGAAUCCAAAUACAAAUAUGACAUCCGGUGUGGUCUUGUACAUUUUAGCUAGUUUUUCCCGAAUUUCUGUCUUAGGCACUGUUGCCUUCCCGGGGUGAAGGACAUCAAUGACCAUUUGUUUCCUCUGAAGUAGUCGGUUGGUCAUGAACUUUCUAGUGCAGAUAGUUACUGUGUCGUUCAUGAUGGCGGCCUAUGCUUAGACAGCCGAGGAGGAAAAGCGAAAGAAAAUUUAUUACAAGGAUAUAGGGAUUUUUAAAAACUGUACUUUAAGUUCUGGGGUACAUGUGCAGAACAUGUAGGUUUGUUACAUAGGUAUACACGUGCCAUGGUGGUUGGCUGCAUCUAUCACCCAGUCUUUGGUAUUAGGGAUUUAUCCUCUGACAGACCCCAGUAUGUGAUGUUCCCCUCCCUGUGUCCAUGUGUUCUCAUUGUUCACUUGUGAGUGAGAAUAUGCAGUGUUUGGUUUUCUGCACUUGUAUUAGUUUGCUGAGAAUGAUGAUUUUAAGCUUCAUCCAUAUGCCUGCAAGGACAUGAACUCAUCCUUUAUUAUGGCUGCAUAGUAUUCCAUGGUGUAUACAUGCCACAUAUUCUUUAUCCAGUCUAUCAUUGAUGGGUAUUUGGGUUGGUUCCAAGUCUUUAUUAUUGUGAAUAGUGCUG